UCUCCGGUGACCUAGUGGUUAGAGCGUCCGCCUCGGAUGCGGGAGGUCGUGGGUUCGAUCCCCGGUCUAGUCAUACCGAAGAC
Potamilus streckersoni is the source of this 83-nucleotide non-coding RNA. The record is from the annotation of a GenBank genome assembly. NCBI's taxonomy places the organism in Eukaryota, Metazoa, Mollusca, Bivalvia, Unionida, Unionidae.